ACCUCGAUAGCUCAUCUGGUAGAGUAACUACCCGGUAGGCGGAAGGUUUUCGGUUCAAUCCCGGAUCGAGGCG
This 73-nucleotide transfer RNA is filed under the name Fasciola hepatica (liver fluke). Its description in RNAcentral is "tRNA-Thr". The record is from RNAcentral. Lineage: Eukaryota; Metazoa; Platyhelminthes; Trematoda; Plagiorchiida; Fasciolidae.